This 253-nucleotide ribosomal RNA is filed under the name uncultured bacterium. RNAcentral's name for it is "partial 16S ribosomal RNA". It matches the Rfam family "Bacterial small subunit ribosomal RNA", at positions 524 to 776 of the family's 1533-position model. The record is from RNAcentral.
UACGUAGGGUGCGAGCGUUAAUCGGAAUUACUGGGCGUAAAGCGUGCGCAGGCGGCUUCGCAAGUCAGACGUGAAAUCCCCGGGCUUAACCUGGGAAUGGCGUUUGAAACUACGGAGCUGGAGUAUGGCAGAGGGGGGUGGAAUUCCGCGUGUAGCAGUGAAAUGCGUAGAGAUGCGGAGGAACACCGAUGGCGAAAGCAGCCCCCUGGGUUGACACUGACGCUCAGGCACGAAAGCGUGGGGAGCAAACAGG